This 556-nucleotide ribosomal RNA is filed under the name Idolomorpha dentifrons. RNAcentral's name for it is "partial 16S ribosomal RNA". It matches the Rfam family "Bacterial large subunit ribosomal RNA", at positions 1796 to 2622 of the family's 2925-position model. The record is from RNAcentral. Lineage: Eukaryota; Metazoa; Arthropoda; Insecta; Mantodea; Empusidae.
UCGCCUGUUUAUCAAAAACAUGGUUUUUUGUAUUUAUUUAAAAGAUCUGACCUGCCCACUGAAUUAAGUUUGAAGGGCCGCAGUAUUUUGACUGUGCGAAGGUAGCAUAAUCAUUAGUCUUUUAAUUGAAGGCUUGUAUGAAAGGUUGAAUGAGGUGAAUACUGUUUUAUGUAAUAUAAUUGAAUUUAGGUUUUAAGUAAAAAUACUUAAAUUAAAUUAAGGGACGAGAAGACCCUAUAGAGUUUAAUAAAUGUAAUAGUAAACUGAGUUAUUAAGAAAUUUUUGGUUUUUAUUAAAUUUAUUUAAUUGGGGUGAUUAAAGGAUAUAUAAAACUCCUUUUUAAUUUUAAUAUAGAUGAAUAAAUAUAUGAUCCAUUAUUAUUGAUUAUAAGAUUAAAUUACCUUAGGGAUAACAGCAUAAUUUUCUUUAAGAGUUCUUAUCGAAAAGGAAGAUUGUGACCUCGAUGUUGGAUUAAGAUUUGUUUAGGGUGUAGAUGUUUAUAAACUAGGUCUGUUCGACCUUUAAAAUCUUACAUGAUCUGAGUUCAAACCGGAGA